AGUGAACGCUGGCGGUAUGCCUAACACAUGCAAGUCGAACGACAGCUCAGUAAGAUCUUUCUCCUACGGGUGGCGAGUGGCGGACGGGUGAGGAAUACAUCGGAAUCUACUUUGUCUUGGGUGAUAACGUAGAGAAACUUACGCUAAUACCUCAUACAACCAACGGCUGAAAUCAGUGGUUCUUGAGACCUUUGCCGUUUCAUUUAGCUGGUGUCGCAUUAGCUAGUUGGGGUGGUAAAGUCCCACCAAGGCGACGAUCCGUAGCUGGUCUGAGAGGAUGAUCAGCCACACUGGAACUGAGACACGGUCCAGACUCCUACGGGAGGCAGCAGUGGGGAAUAUUGGACAAUGGGCGUAAGCCUGACCCAGCCAUACCGCGUGGGUGAAGAAGGCCUUCGGGUUGUAAAGCCCUUUUAUUGGGAAAGAAAAGCAGCAGGUUAAUCCCCCGAUGUUCUGACGGUACCUAAAGAAUAAGCAACGGCUAACUUCGUG
RNAcentral lists this ribosomal RNA (492 nucleotides) under uncultured bacterium. Its description in RNAcentral is "partial 16S ribosomal RNA". It matches the Rfam family "Bacterial small subunit ribosomal RNA", at positions 29 to 507 of the family's 1533-position model. The record is from RNAcentral.